Molecule: ribosomal RNA, 797 nt
Filed under: Helix pelagonesica
Lineage: Eukaryota; Metazoa; Mollusca; Gastropoda; Stylommatophora; Helicidae
Description: partial 16S ribosomal RNA
Source: RNAcentral
AUUAAUAAAAAUAGUAACGUUUAUAUUUCACGAAAGAAAGUGAGCUAAAUAUGUAUGUAUUAUAUACGUGGUAUAGUAUCUAUAAAAUACUUGUUUAGGGGUGAUAGGCUUACCAAACUUUUUGAUAACUUGUUUCACACGAAAAGUAUUAAGUACAUAAACAUGCUUAAAAAGUCAAGCUUUUAAGCAUUUAUUAAAAAUAGUUGAAAUAUUUAACAUAGUAUAAAAGCUUGUUAUAAAAGAAUUAAAUAUUAAAUAUAUUUUUUUAUAGUUAAUAGUAUGAUAAUAUUUUACCACUUAAAUAUUUGAUACUGUUAUUAUUAGUAGUAAAUAAAAUAUGCUUAAGGAACUCGGCAAAUAUAAUCCGCUCAACUGUUUAUCAAAAACAUAGCUAUAUGAUUUAAUAUAUAGUUAUUUCUGCUCCAUGAAUAUUAAAUAGCCGCAGUACUCUGACUGUGCAAAGGUAGCAUAAUCAGUUGGCUUUUAAUUGAAGUCUGGUAUGAAGGAAAAUAUGGGUGGUAGCUGUCUUAGCAUACUUAUUUAAACUUGUUUAGCAAGUGUAAAUACGUGCUCUUAUACAAAAGACGAGAAGACCCUAGAAACUUGAUAAAGGUUUUGUUGGGGCGACAAAUUUACAUUUAACUAAUUUUUUUAAUACAUGACGUGGUACUGAUAGAUUUAAGUUACUCUAGGGAUAACAGCAUAAUUUUAACAGUUUGUGACCUCGAUGUUGGACUAGGUUUUUUAUUCUUUAGAUAGGAAUAAAAUAAGCUCUGUUCGAGCAAAUACACCUACAU